ACCGCUUUCGGGCGGGGAUUAGUGGCGAACGGGUGAGUAACACGUGGGCAAUCUGCCCUGCACUCUGGGACAAGCCCUGGAAACGGGGUCUAAUACCGGAUAUGACUGUCCAUCGCAUGGUGGAUGGUGUAAAGCUCCGGCGGUGCAGGAUGAGCCCGCGGCCUAUCAGCUUGUUGGUGAGGUAGUGGCUCACCAAGGCGACGACGGGUAGCCGGCCUGAGAGGGCGACCGGCCACACUGGGACUGAGACACGGCCCAGACUCCUACGGGAGGCAGCAGUGGGGAAUAUUGCACAAUGGGCGAAAGCCUGAUGCAGCGACGCCGCGUGAGGGAUGACGGCCUUCGGGUUGUAAACCUCUUUCAGCAGGGAAGAAGCGAAAGUGACGGUACCUGCAGAAGAAGCGCCGGCUAACUACGUGCCAGCAGCCGCGGUAAUACGUAGGGCGCAAGCGUUGUCCGGAAUUAUUGGGCGUAAAGAGCUCGUAGGCGGCUUGUCACGUCGGUUGUGAAAGCCCGGGGCUUAACCCCGGGUCUGCAGUCGAUACGGGCA
This 550-nucleotide ribosomal RNA is filed under the name Streptomyces exfoliatus. RNAcentral describes it as "bacterial SSU rRNA". It matches the Rfam family "Bacterial small subunit ribosomal RNA", at positions 73 to 638 of the family's 1533-position model. The record is from RNAcentral. Lineage: Bacteria; Bacillati; Actinomycetota; Actinomycetes; Kitasatosporales; Streptomycetaceae.